AUGGCCGCACGGGGAGGAGGCAGUGCCAACGUGGCCGUGCUCCUUGCCGUGCUUCUUCUCUGCACUCUCGUGGCGGAGGCGGCGGUGUUCAACGUCGGCGACCGCGGCGGCUGGUCCUUCAACACCAACUCCUGGCCCACCGGCAAGCGCUUCAAGGCCGGCGACGUCCUAGUGUUCAAGUACGACGCGACGGCGCACGACGUGGUGGCGGUGAGCGCGGCGGGGUACAAGGCCUGCGCCAAGCCGGCAAACGGCGCCAAGGUGUACAAGUCCGGUGCCGACCGCGUCACCCUCGCCCGCGGCACAAACUACUUCAUCUGUAGCAUCCCCGGACACUGCCAAUCCGGCAUGAAGAUCGCCGUCACUGCCGCCUAG
RNAcentral lists this ribosomal RNA (375 nucleotides) under Triticum aestivum (bread wheat). RNAcentral's name for it is "partial small subunit ribosomal RNA". The record is from RNAcentral. Lineage: Eukaryota; Viridiplantae; Streptophyta; Magnoliopsida; Poales; Poaceae.